Gymnodraco acuticeps is the source of this 2670-nucleotide long non-coding RNA. RefSeq lists it as uncharacterized. NCBI's taxonomy places the organism in Eukaryota, Metazoa, Chordata, Actinopteri, Perciformes, Bathydraconidae. The transcript has 4 exons. The record is from RefSeq and is a predicted model, not a curated record.
CCGACCAGCUAAUGGUGACCAGCUAGACCACUGUGACCAAACCAGCUAAUGGUGACCAGCUAGACCACUGUGACCACCAGCUUUUACCAGCUAAACCAGCUAUCCCGACCAGCUAAUGGUGACCAGCUAGACCACUGUGACCAAACCAGCUAGACCACUGUGACCAAACCAGCUAUCCUGACCAGCUAGACCACUGUGACCACCAGCUUUUACCAGCUAAACCAGCUAUCCCGACCAGCUAAUGGUGACCAGCUAGACCACUGUGACCAAACCAGCUAUCCUGACCAGCUAAAGUGUCCAAAACCCCUCUAACCAGCUAACUAAUCCAGCCUAAUAUUGUCUGGCUGGUUUACCAGCCUGACCAGCCAGACCAGCCUUGUUGGUCUAAGCUGGUUUUUUCAGCAGGGACGCUGGCCUUGGGAAGAGGAUGCUCAGCCGACAAGAACACUUGAUACAUAGUGAGGUAAUAUACAUAACAAUUGUAAUCAUUUGCUGUAUAGUGAAUCUUAUUGCAUUUUGUUUUAAAGAUUGUGGCUGUAGUUCAAGAGGAAUUUCCUAAACUCAAAACGUUAAAAGGAGGCUGGAUGUUUUACAAGUCGACAGGUGGCAGUGGACGUCGCAAGCUUUCCAUAAUCCCAACAGACUCGGAGGGGCACUCAACAAGGCUCCUGAAAUCAGCCACCAACAAAAGCGUAGUGUUUGUGGUUCCACUGCAGAACCACUGCCAUAUGAUUCAGUCGAGUUCACAGAGAUGCCACAGUCAAGCUGCACAUCACAAUGCCUGAAAGCAGUUAUUCCAACAUUUGUUUUUAUUUCUCCAAUAAAUAUGUAAAUAUGUUUUUGUGCAAAUGACUGUUUCAAACAUGUAUCUAUACUACUAGCUCUUUAUUCUAGGAGACUGAAUCUCUGGUUCCCAUGGAUGAAGAAUGCCAAACUAAUCCCUACCGCAGGGAUUGGAGAAUCCUCUGAGCAGGUUUGCCCACUUUGUCUUGGAUCAUACCCAAUGAUGUCCAUGCAAGCACAUGCGGUGACAGAACUGACAUCGCUAACCGAAGCGAAGCAGACAGUCUCAUAAUUGUAAAGGAAACUUCUGUGUAGCAAUGCAGUGGGAGUCACUGACUCAUGAAGGAGACACAGGACGAGCAGGAGUUCUGAUGUCAAACACUGAGAUUUAAUACAAGCAUCGGCCGGAGAAAUUCACAUCACAAGUCACACAGUCAAAGGUUCUGACUGCACGGGUGGUUUGCCAUGUCAAAUCUGAUCAGCCUCGCAUCUUGGUAGACCUUUUAACUAGUUUACAGAGAGUUAAUCCACAUAUUGGGGAUGGGCGUAAACCAUGGCGUAAACACAUCUGCGGAGGAGAUAUCUCUCCCAUCUCUGGAGCUUAGAAGCUAGCGUUCUCACACUCGCAAGACCUCCCUAUGCCCUGUAGGUCAAGCUGUAAAACCUAGUAUCAACAUACGACUGCAUUAUCACAUUCCUUACGGGAGAUUAGAAGCAGGGAUGGUCGUACAUGUCAACACACAAAAUAAGGUUAAAUGUCUAGGAGUAAAGACAAAAUGAAUCCCUAACAAUAAUGACAGAGGAACUGCCAGGACCUUCAGUUCCACGAUUGUCAACAACAUAUUCAGCAGGUUAUUUAUUCAGAACACUUACUGCUGUGUUGUAGUUUUAAAAUAGACCACUUUUUUUGGGCUGUAAAUGGUUACUCACGAAGACCGUUACAAAACAAUGAUCCCAAAAGAAAACACUAACAAUUUUUACUAUUUCAAAUGAUGUUUUCAGCUUGGACCAGUAAAGUGGACCCAGAAAAGCACGUCAGUUGUUCAGAGAAGAACUUCUGGGCCGGAUGUCGAAGCCUUUCUCUUUUGAUUGACAUGUUUGAUACAGAAGAACAGGACAGUUCUUUUAUUUCUUUCUUCAAAAGGAAUAAUGUCAACUGGGCAGCUCCAUUGAAGUGCAGGCUGAUAGGUAUUACAAAACAUCACCUGGGUUACAUUUUGACUUUUUUGUUUGAUCUUGCAUAACGAGGGGUUUAGUGCAUGUUCUUUCACAGAAGAUAGAAUGUGUUACAUUUAUUGUAGUGGAAGCACAAAAGCCAAACGGGGUCUUAGUAACUUUUAUUUGAAUAUAAUUGAGUUGCUUGCACUUUCCACUCAUAUCCUUUAUUUCCAAGGAGACGCAGCUUCAGUAUCAAUUCAGGUGAGGUGUCACCUAUUGUCUUUUCAUGAUAAAACAUGUUUAUUGUUCCUUUAAUUGAAUGAAAUCAGGGAAUACAUAUUUUGAUGUCAGUUACAGACAAAUUGAUUGUUUUUAAUCAAUUGUGAUCAUCAAUAUCUUGUUGCUUGAGCUUCAACAUUGUAAUGGCAUUACAUGGUGUCUUUUACAUGUUUUCCUUUAUUUUCCUAUUUAGCUGCUCUUACAAGCCUUUUUGAAGGGGAAAAUGAACACCGGGUUUUGUCUAUGGUCAUUUUUAAAUAUUAUUUAAAAAAAACACAAGAUAUAUAAAACUAGAAAUGAAAAAUAAUAUAAUGAACACUUCACAUACAGAUAGCAUGCAAACACACCAAUGACAAAUGACAAAGUAUGUCAUUAAAAUUACAUAUAUUGAAUAAAUACAUGUUUCUUUAAAUAUACAGCCACAAAAUCACGUGGAGCUGCAUAAAAAUA